GACACUUGAAGAGAUUGUGUGGGCUCUCUCCAGGGAGUCUGUCCUGAAGACAUGAAAACACAGCCAGUAUUGUCAUGCCGCCACUUUUCAUGAUGUUAUUGUUAACCAUGGACUUCAAGGCUGGACUUGUUUCCUGUGGCAGCUCCUGUGGUGGGGAGAAGGGCUCACACAUACUCCAGUUUCACUCCACUACAGGUUGGAGAGCAAUGAAAGACUACCCAGAGAUGCUGAGAGAGUCUUGGAGCAGAUGCCUGCAAAGGAGAGCUAUCACAAAGUAUAAUAUCAGAAAAAAACACUUUCUGGUAAGUACAUACUUAUCCAAUAUCUUAAAGAUACAAAUCCUCAAGCUGGGUUAUUUAAUGACACCUUCAGACAGAAAUGGGGAAAAAAAAAUAAAUCACUAUGACUGUAUACAUUCUUGCAAAGCUCCAGUUGGAUACUACACUUCUCUGUGCCCUACGUAGCUUUGUAGGAGGGUGAAAUGGAGUUGCCCAGGGACAGUUACCCAGGCAAGAGGGUUACUGCUUGCAAAGUUGGCAGGGGUUUUCAGUAGAACAAUAGAGAGUAGUAUGAGUGGAAGACCUUGAACCAUCUGCGGGGGUUUCAGACAUUUUAGAGUUCUCACUUUCAGUUUAGGAAAUUCCUUUACUCCUUUGAUUGAGUUCUCAGGACACUUCAAACUGAUCCUGACUCCCUGUAAGCAAGAAACACAGCUCACAGGAUUUCAAUCAGUUUGAAUCACCCACAGGUAAAUUAGUGAAAGUCACUUGAAACUCUCUCUGAGAAAUCUCUGCUUUCAGAAUUAGCACUCUUUCAUUUAUUUUUUUCCUUUUUUUUUUUUUUAAAGAAAUGUUGAAUUUUGAACAGCUUCUGAACAGCUUCCAUGAAGAAAAUUUACAUGUUGCUGAUUUAUUAGAGACAAUGAACAAGAAGUCAUCUGUACCUUGUAAUACCUGAUGUCACAGAGAAGUCUGGAGCCAGACUAGGAGAAGGUAGCAAUUCCAGUAAAACAGUGAAUGACACCAAGAGUACUUGAAUCCUCUAUAAAUCUUUAGAAUACUGUAUUUAUAAAUUGAGAUGGACAUUAUGAAAAAAUAGAGGACUACAACAUGAAAAUUCUCUCUUUUUCCCUUUGCUUUCAACUCAGAUAGCAUUUUUACUAUGUUGAGAGGAUUCACAAUCUAUCAAGCCUGAUGAAUGUCUCCCUGUCUCCAACAGAGAAACAGGUGGUAUUUGUUUAAGAGGUGGCAUAAUUCCAAAAUAUGCCUAUUGCAAGAGCUGCUGAACUCUGACAGAAGGGAGUGUGAAACUUAAUUUACUAUGGAUGCCUCUUCCCAGUACUUACUCCUACAAUUGAGUUCUGUGAUGAAUUUGCUGUUAUUCAUAGAGCUGAGUGACAAUGGGAACUCUUCCCCAUGGUGAAUUUUGAUAUCUAAAAAUGAUAGUUAAAAACAUUUCUCCAUUUUUCUUAAUUAAAAUUUUGAAGAAUUUUCAGAAUAAGCUCAAAAUUUCUAAUGGAAACUUUACACAUAUAAAUAUCAUACAUUGUAACAGUCAGAAAAAUAAACUUAAAUGAAAAAGAGAGGUUCA
RNAcentral lists this long non-coding RNA (1590 nucleotides) under Anser cygnoides (Swan goose). Its description in RNAcentral is "lncRNA (ENSACDG00005002570.1)". The record is from RNAcentral. Lineage: Eukaryota; Metazoa; Chordata; Aves; Anseriformes; Anatidae.